Non-coding RNA from Acanthosepion pharaonis, 114 nucleotides. NCBI's taxonomy places the organism in Eukaryota, Metazoa, Mollusca, Cephalopoda, Sepiida, Sepiidae. The record is from the annotation of a GenBank genome assembly.
UUACGGCCAUAUCACGUUAAAACUCCGGUUCUCGAACGAUCACCGAAGUUAAGCAACGUUGAGCUUGGUCAGUACCUAAAUGGAUGACCGCUUGGGAAUACUAGGUGCUGUAAG